GACCGGAGUGGACGCAUCACUGGUGUUCGGGUKGUCAUGCCAAUGGCACUGCCCGGUAGCUAAAUGCGGAAGAGAUAAGUGCUGAAAGCAUCUAAGCACGAAACUUGCCCCGAGAUGAGUUCUCCCUGAGACUUAGAGUCUCCUGAAGGAACGUUGAAGACGACGACGUUGAUAGGCCGGGUGUGUAAGCGCAGCGAUGCGUUGAGCUAACCGGUACUAAUGAACCGUGAGGCUUAACCUUACAACGCCGAAG
This 253-nucleotide ribosomal RNA is filed under the name Escherichia coli. RNAcentral's name for it is "partial 23S ribosomal RNA". It matches the Rfam family "Bacterial large subunit ribosomal RNA", at positions 2690 to 2925 of the family's 2925-position model. The record is from RNAcentral. Lineage: Bacteria; Pseudomonadati; Pseudomonadota; Gammaproteobacteria; Enterobacterales; Enterobacteriaceae.